Molecule: ribosomal RNA, 69 nt
Filed under: Anthonotha crassifolia
Lineage: Eukaryota; Viridiplantae; Streptophyta; Magnoliopsida; Fabales; Fabaceae
Description: partial 26S ribosomal RNA
Source: RNAcentral
GAUGCGACCUCAGCUCAGGCGGGGCUACCCGCUGAGUUUAAGCAUAUCAAUAAGGCGGAGGAAAAGAAC